RNAcentral lists this ribosomal RNA (492 nucleotides) under uncultured bacterium. Its description in RNAcentral is "partial 16S ribosomal RNA". It matches the Rfam family "Bacterial small subunit ribosomal RNA", at positions 29 to 507 of the family's 1533-position model. The record is from RNAcentral.
AGUGAACGCUGGCGGUAGGCCUAACACAUGCAAGUCGAACGGCAGCACAGUAAGAGCUUGCUCUUACGGUUGGCGAGUGGCGGACGGGUGAGGAAUACAUCGGAAUCUACUUUUUCGUGGGUGAUAACGUAGGGAAACUUACGCUAAUACCGCAUACGACCUACGGGUGAAAGCAGGGGAUCUUCGGACCUUUCGCGAUUGAAUGAGCCGAUGUCGGAUUAGCUAGUUGGCGGGGUAAGGGCCCACCAAGGCGACGAUCCGUAGCUGGUCUGAGAGGAUGAUCAGCCACACUGGAACUGAGACACGGUCCAGACUCCUACGGGAGGCAGCAGUGGGGAAUAUUGGACAAUGGGCGAAAGCCUGAUCCAGCCAUACCGCGUGGGUGAAGAAGGCCUUCGGGUUGUAAAGCCCUUUUGUUGGGAAAGAAAAGCAGCAGGUUAAUACCCCGCUGUUCUGACGGUACCCAAAGAAUAAGCACCGGCUAACUUCGUG